GAUGAAGAACGCAGCGAAAUGCGAUAAGUAGUGUGAAUUGCAGAAUUCAGUGAAUCAUCGAAUCUUUGAACGCACAUUGCGCCCCUUGGUAUUCCAUGGGGCAUGCCUGUUCGAGCGUCAUUUGUACCUUCAAGCUUUGCUUGGUGUUGGGUGUUUGUCUCGCCUUUGCGUGUAGACUCGCCUUAAAAUAAUUGGCAGCCGACGUAUUGAUUUCGGAGCGCAGUACAUCUCGCGCUUUGCACUCAUAACGACAGCGUCCAAAAGUACAUUUUACACUCUUGACCUCGGAUCAGGUAGGGAUACCCGCUGAACUUAAGCAUAUCAAUAAGCGGAGGA
Molecule: unclassified non-coding RNA, 336 nt
Filed under: soil metagenome
Description: partial contains 5.8S ribosomal RNA, internal transcribed spacer 2, and large subunit ribosomal RNA
Rfam family: 5.8S ribosomal RNA (bases 1-120)
Source: RNAcentral